CCUACGGGAGGCAGCAGUGGGGAAUAUUGCACAAUGGGGGAAACCCUGAUGCAGCGACGCCGCGUGAGUGAAGAAGUAAUUCGUUACGUAAAGCUCUAUCAGCAGGGAAGAAAAUGACGGUACCUGGGCAAGAAGCCCCGGCUAAAUACGUGCCAGCAGCCGCGGUAAUUCGUAGGGGGCAAGCGUUAUCCGGAUUUACUGGGUGUAAAGGGAGCGUAGACGGUGCGCCAAGUCUGGAGUGAAAGGCCGCAGCGUAAAUGCGGAACUGCGUUGGAAACUGGCGCACUAGAGUGCGGGAGGGGUAAGCGGAAUGCCUGGUGUAGCGGUGAAAUGCGUAGAUAUCAGGAGGAACACCGGGGGCGAAGGCGGCUUACUGGACCGUGACUGACGUUGAGGCUCGAAAGCGUGGGGAGCAAACAGGAUUAGAUACCCGUGUAGUC
RNAcentral lists this ribosomal RNA (440 nucleotides) under uncultured bacterium. Its description in RNAcentral is "partial 16S ribosomal RNA". It matches the Rfam family "Bacterial small subunit ribosomal RNA", at positions 338 to 795 of the family's 1533-position model. The record is from RNAcentral.